RNAcentral lists this ribosomal RNA (327 nucleotides) under uncultured eukaryote. Its description in RNAcentral is "partial 18S ribosomal RNA". It matches the Rfam family "Eukaryotic small subunit ribosomal RNA", at positions 1470 to 1796 of the family's 1831-position model. The record is from RNAcentral.
CCCUUAGAUGUUCGGGGCCGCACGCGCGCUACACUGAUGGGGUCAGCGUGUUUACUCGUCCUGGUCCGGCAGGAUUGGGCAAUCCGUUGAACCCCCGUCGUGAUUGGGAUCGGAGCUUGUAAUUAUUCUCCGUGAACGAGGAAUUCCCAGUAAGCGCAAGUCAUAAGCUCGCGUUGAUUACGUCCCUGCCCUUUGUACACACCGCCCGUCGCACCUACCGAUUGAAUGGUCCGGUGAAAUCUCCGGACUGGCGUGAGUCGGAGCAAUCUGACAAACACCGGAAAGUUGAUUAAACCUUACCAUUUAGAGGAAGGUGAAGUCGUAACA